Molecule: unclassified non-coding RNA, 608 nt
Filed under: Mazus pumilus (Japanese mazus)
Lineage: Eukaryota; Viridiplantae; Streptophyta; Magnoliopsida; Lamiales; Mazaceae
Description: partial contains ITS1, 5.8S rRNA, and ITS2
Rfam family: 5.8S ribosomal RNA (bases 206-361)
Source: RNAcentral
GCGGAAGGAUCAUUGUCGAACCUAGAAAACAGACCGCGAACACGUUUAUAAACUUCUCCCGCGAGUCGGCGCGCGAGCGUCGUCCCGCGGGCUAACGAACCCCGGCGCGGAAUGCGCCAAGGAAAACUGAACAAAAGCGUCGGCCCCCUGCGGCCCCGUUCGCGGUGCGCCUAUGGGGGAUGCGACGUCUAUUGAAAGUCAUAACGACUCUCGGCAACGGAUAUCUCGGCUCUCGCAUCGAUGAAGAACGUAGCGAAAUGCGAUACUUGGUGUGAAUUGCAGAAUCCCGUGAACCAUCGAGUCUUUGAACGCAAGUUGCGCCCGAAGCCUUUAGGCCGAGGGCACGUCUGCCUGGGCGUCACGCAUCGUGUCACCCCCUACCACACUCUCCGGAGUGAUCGCGUGGGGGUGGAAUUGGCCUCCCGUACGCUUGCCCGUGCGGCUGGCCCAAAUGCGAUCCCGCAGCGGCGCAUGCCGCAACCAGUGGUGGAAGAAUUCUCGUUCUUGCGUGCUGUUGCGGCUGCAAUGCGCCGUUUGCUCGGGCAUCACAAUCGACCCAACUGCGCGGUGGCAACAACCGCCGCGCUAUCGACCGCGACCCCAGGUCA